GCGAGGGUAGCCAAGUGGUCAACGGCGCUCGACUCAAGAUCGAGUCCUUAGUGGUUCGCGGGUUCGACUCCCUCCCCUCGCA
Molecule: transfer RNA, 82 nt
Rfam family: tRNA
About the family: Transfer RNA (tRNA) molecules are approximately 80 nucleotides in length. Their secondary structure includes four short double-helical elements and three loops (D, anti-codon, and T loops).
Source: Rfam